This 467-nucleotide ribosomal RNA is filed under the name uncultured bacterium. Its description in RNAcentral is "partial 16S ribosomal RNA". It matches the Rfam family "Bacterial small subunit ribosomal RNA", at positions 28 to 507 of the family's 1533-position model. The record is from RNAcentral.
GACGAACGCUGGCGGCGUGCUUAACACAUGCAAGUCGAACGGAAAGGCCCUGCUUUUGUGGGUGCUCGAGUGGCGAACGGGGGAGUAACCCGUGAGUAACCUGCCCUUGACGUUGGGAUAACUUCAGGAAACUGGGGCUAAUACCGGACAGGAGCUCCUGCUGCAUGGUGGGGGUUGGAAAGUUUCGGCGGUUGGGGAUGGACUCGCGGCUUAUCAGCUUGUUGGUGGGGUAGUGGCUUACCAAGGCUUUGACGGGUAGCCGGCCUGAGAGGGUGACCGGCCACAUUGGGACUGAGAUACGGCCCAGACGCCUACGGGAGGCAGCAGUGGGGAAUAUUGCACAAUGGGCGGAAGCCUGAUGCAGCAACGCCGGGUGCGGGAUGACGGCCUUCGGGUUGUAAACCGCUUUCGCCUGUGACGAAGCGUGAGUGACGGUAAUGGGUAAAGAAGCACCGGCUAACUACGUG